UAGGGAAUCUUCGGCAAUGGACGGAAGUCUGACCGAGCAACGCCGCGUGAGUGAGGAAGGUUUUCGGAUCGUAAAGCUCUGUUGCCAGGGAAGAAGGGUAAGGAGAGUCACUGCUCUUUACUUGACGGUACCUGAGAAGAAAGCCCCGGCUAACUACGUGCCAGCAGCCGCGGUAAUACGUAGGGGGCAAGCGUUGUCCGGAAUUAUUGGGCGUAAAGCGCGCGCAGGCGGUUCUUUAAGUCUGGUGUAUAAGCCCGUGGCUCAACCACGGGACGCACUGGAAACUGGGGGGCUGGAGUGCAGGAGAGGAAAGUGGAAUUCCACGUGUAGCGGUGAAAUGCGUAGAGAUGUGGAGGAACACCAGUGGCGAAGGCGACUUUCUGGCCUGUAACUGACGCUGAGGCGCGAAAGCGUGGGGAGCAAACA
Molecule: ribosomal RNA, 426 nt
Filed under: uncultured Thermobacillus sp.
Lineage: Bacteria; Bacillati; Bacillota; Bacilli; Caryophanales; Paenibacillaceae
Description: bacterial SSU rRNA
Rfam family: Bacterial small subunit ribosomal RNA
Source: RNAcentral